AACAAAGUUCACACUGACAACAGAGGGCGAGUGGCAGAGAGUCGAGAACAGUGGCAGAUCUGAUCAAAUGGCAAAAGCAGAGGAAAAGAUUAUUCCUCAGAGCAAGAAUGUCUUCUUUUGGGUUCUUUUUUUUCUUUUAUUUUUUGCAAAAUAAAUAAAUAAAAAUAAAUUGCUGUCACACUCUGACAGAGGUUGGACCUGGCAGGACACCAAAGGAUCCUGAAAACUAACAAGCAUGGAGGUGCUGAGUGGCCCCUGGGCUGAUCUGGCCCUCCUCCUGCAACAGACUGUCACGCUCACAAACAGAGACACAGACAGCUUUCUUCCUCUCUGGCUGUUUGGAUUGUUGCUAUUCCUGUCAGUCUGUCUGCUGCUGCUGCAACUAAUCAUCUACUUCAGCUGGAAACUCAGACAGGCUGAGGCGGAUCUGUCCAGUCUUGAGCAGGACCGAAGUGCCAUCCACAGGCAGAGGCACAGAAGUGCCAGUCUGAGGAGGAGAAGUUUUGGAUCACAUUCCUAUUCCUGACAGGAAUCUCUAGCAGUGAUGGACUAAUUUAACUUAUGUACAUUACAUAUAAUAUGUGAACACUCCUCAGUGUGGAAAUAGUGGAUACGUCUCAAAAUGUGUAACAACUCUUUUGCAUCGUUUUCUUAAAUUGGAUACUGUAGUGUUAAUAUGAUAUUGAUCUUCUACACAGUUCUCAGCUUAUCUACGUCGGUUUGCAUUAUUUAGGUUUUAAUAUCAAUAAAACAAGUGCAUGGGGGAAAAAAAGACGACUGGAAGUGUUUCAGAGUAUAACAAUUGUUUAUUUGAACAGUGUUACACAGGGGCGAGGAGUGGCUGCGUGUGAGGAGACAACACGAUUUAUGCAGCUAGACUAAAACAACCUACCAGUGAUGUUUUGGUAGCAGGAAGCAAAGAGGCGGCUGGUUAAUUUCUCCAAAAUGUCCGUCUUCAUAAAAGUGUUUUAGAUGAGAUACAAAAAUGUGCCGUCAUUGUGCGGAAUAAACAAUCUGAUUAUAGAGACAUUUUAGUUAAAAAUCCCAGACAAAUUUAAAAUCAGCUGGUAAUGAUCGUCAGCUUUGUAAUCUGAAUAAAAAGAUUAAAAUUCAGAUUUUUUUUUUUUUUUUUAAAUAAAGUUGUCAUUAAAGCUACAAACAUUUUUGGAAAAGUCAACCUGGCCUCCCCCUAAAGCUCCUGCGGUCGGUUCAAAGAGAGAAAAAAAGCCCUGAACCAGAAGCAGAGAAAAGGUGGCAAAAACAAGUUGAUCUGUAGUGGUUUUUCUUCACCAACAAAAUACACAGUGGCAAUAUUACAAACAAGCAGGAAGGUGGAGCGACAGACCCCACCCUCCCAAACUACUAGACCAGUUUCACAGAGAAAAGACGAACCGUGAGAGACUCUACAGAUUCAGCUGAUGUGGCGUUACAGAUUUAUUUAAUGAGAUUUUCCUAUGUGGAACAGCAGUCGCUUCCAAAAGCUGCCUAGAGAUGAAA
Poecilia latipinna (sailfin molly) is the source of this 1497-nucleotide long non-coding RNA. RefSeq lists it as uncharacterized. The record is from RefSeq and is a predicted model, not a curated record. Lineage: Eukaryota; Metazoa; Chordata; Actinopteri; Cyprinodontiformes; Poeciliidae. The transcript has 3 exons.